CCCUUAGAUGUUCUGGGCCGCACACGCGCUACACUGAAGGAGGCAGCGUGUACUCCUGGAUCGAAAGAUUUGGGUAACCCGCGAAUCUCCUUCGUGCUAGGGAUUGAGGUUUGCAAUUAUCCUUAAUGAACGAGGAAUUCCCAGUAAGUGCAAGUCAUAAGCUUGCGCUGACUACGUCCCUGCCCUUUGUACACACCGCCCGUCGCUACUACCGAUUGAAUGAUUUAGUGAGGACUUCGGACUGGGACCGAUGCGGCUUUCGGGCUGCGUCGGUAUUCUGGAAAGAUGUCCAAACUGUAUCAUUUAGAGGAAGUAAAAGUCGUAACA
Molecule: ribosomal RNA, 327 nt
Filed under: uncultured eukaryote
Lineage: Eukaryota
Description: partial 18S ribosomal RNA
Rfam family: Eukaryotic small subunit ribosomal RNA
Source: RNAcentral